AUAAUUAAUCUGUAAUAAUUAAUUGCGAUUAAAUGUAGCUGUUUGACAUUUUUGAGCAGAGAUUAAACAGCUGUUUCUGAUCUGCUGGAUAGGCAUGCUACACAUCAAGAGUGUGAAUGGUUUAAUUUCUGAUUGAAGGGAAGUAUCAGGUUGAUUGCCAACCUUUUGAACCCCUGAGCGCUUCAACAUUUUUUUAUCAAAGACUUGGUUGAUGAAGGUGAGGGACAGUUAUAAAGUUUGUAGGUAACACAAAACUGGGAAGGGUGGUUAUAGUUGAAAAAAGAUUUUUAAAAAUGUUAGAUAGGUCUAAGCACUGGGCAGAAAGGAAUGCGAUGAAAUUUAACUGGGAAAAAUAUAAAGUUCUGCAGCCAGGUCGGAAAGCUAAAGCACAAAUAUAGGAUGAGGGCAACCUGUCUUGACAAUGGAACAUGUGAAUAGUUAUGGGUGUCAUUGUUGAUCACAUCUUUAACAUGACCCAAUAGGGCAGAUGCUACUAAAUGGAUCAAAAACUUAAAAGAGUUAUCAAAAUGAUGAAAAGUCUGGUGUAUAUUCUACCAAAAGGAAUGUAAAUGAACUAUCCCCCGUUUUAACGAGUGAGAGAGAGAAGAAUGAACUGCAGUUCAGAUCAGUCCUAAUCAGGAUUCAGAAUACUAGCUGGAAGGAGAAUUCCAUCUCUCUACUUAUCUUCUCAACAAGCUGUGUAUUCAGACUAACACGUCGAUGGAGAGGUCACCUGUUAAACUGAAAAUGGAUUUUUUAAAAAUACUAAUUUAUAAUAAUUUUGGUCGUCAUGUACAUUGAUACAUCCAAACUAGACUGUGUUGUUUCUCCGUGUCAUAUAAUAUAUCUGGGUAUAUGCAUAUUUAUUAUUUAUUUGUUUGUUUGUUUAUUUUUAUUUUUAUCAUGUUUAUAUAAUGUAUAUUGGAGGUGGUGGUUCUUUGAGAGCUAUAUGCAACGAAAUUUCAUUUUCAUAUAUCCCAAUCAGUGUAUAUUUAAAGUGACAAUAAAUUUGUUCUAUUUUAAGUCUAAAUCAGGGGUGUCAAACUCAAUUUCAUUGAGGGCUGCAUCAGGAUUUUGUUUGACCUUGGGGGGUCAGGGGCGCCUGUGGUGGCCUGAGCGUUCUGCCAGCAAAAACAGGCUCCUAAGUUCCAUUUUUGCCUGCGACAGCUUCCUGCAACCCUCUGAUCACCAAAACGGAGCUUAGGUGGCCCACCCUCCCGAGCUCCAUUUUCGAGUUCUGUUCUAGCUGGCUAUAGCACUGCGGGCUGGUCCUUUGCUGUUUUCCAGGGUGGCCCUGCAAGCCAGAUCUAAACAGCCUACGGGCCGCAUCCGGCCCGCGCGCCUUGACUUUGAUACCUGUGGUCUAAGUCAUUUUGCUAAUACAAUAGUCUACCCAAUUAGCUGACUUCACAUGUCAUAUGUAUUAUUUAACCAUGGUUUAUUGACAGAGCCAAUUUGAUGUAAUAGUUAAGGCAUCAGGCUAGAAGCAGGGAGAUCAUGACUUCGAGUUGGCCUUGGGUACAAACGGAGCUUAGUAAUCUUGGGCCAGUCAUUUUCUUUCAGUCCUAGAAAGGAGACAAUGGCAAACCAUUCUGAAAAAUCUUGUCAAGAGAAUUGCAGAAAUUGUCCAGGCAGUCUCCAAGUAUUUCCAAGAAUGAAAGGAAAAAAACAUUGAUUAAAUAAAAAUUAUGUUUACUUGUACAACAUAUAAGCUAUAAGGCACGAGCAAUAAGCUAUAAUGUCUGGAUUUAGGUGUAUGCUAAGUCAAAUCAAAGAAACCUCAUGGUGUGGCAUGAUGUAAGAACUUAGCCCUAAACUCAUGUGUCAGACUACAUUAUAGAUGUAUUUAUGUUACAUUCCAACACAAAAGUAGAGUAAUAGCAAUUUAGCAAGCUAGACAAGGCUUAGUAAAAAGGCCUGAGUAAUUUUCUAUAAAUUUAGGAUACUUAUAAACAUAAUAUGUUAUGUGAGUCUAACAAAACCGAAGAAGUGAACCAAGCCAGUGCGUACUGUGACUUAGCAUUACACAUGAAUGCAGACACUUAUGAUUUAUUUACCAAACAGUGGGUUAAUGUAAUAUGUGAGCCUGGUCAAUUUCCUUAGGGAGGGGAAAUAGUGAAGGAUAUUGUAUUAGUUAAAAAUUAGGGGACAACCACAGUGAUGAUCCAGCAAUAUAUAAGACAAGGCUAGUUAGUAUAAAAGAUGCAUGUGAAUUGUAAGUAUUACUGAAUUGAAUCACAAUGCGGAGGUAUAACAAUAAAGAAAUGUACUUGGAAAAAUCA
Long non-coding RNA from Pantherophis guttatus, 2282 nucleotides. RefSeq lists it as uncharacterized. Lineage: Eukaryota; Metazoa; Chordata; Lepidosauria; Squamata; Colubridae. The record is from RefSeq and is a predicted model, not a curated record.